Molecule: microRNA, 24 nt
Filed under: Haemonchus contortus (barber pole worm)
Lineage: Eukaryota; Metazoa; Nematoda; Chromadorea; Rhabditida; Trichostrongylidae
Description: hco-miR-5966
Source: miRBase by way of RNAcentral
UCUCUACCUAGCAAUCCUCACGUA